Molecule: ribosomal RNA, 790 nt
Filed under: uncultured archaeon
Lineage: Archaea
Description: bacterial SSU rRNA
Rfam family: Archaeal small subunit ribosomal RNA
Source: RNAcentral
ACUGCUCAGUAACACGUAGUCAACAUGCCCAAAGGACGUGGAUAACCUCGGGAAACUGAGGAUAAACCGCGAUAGGUCAUAAGUACUGGAAUGUUUUAUGGCUCAAAUCUACAUGGCCUCUGGAUUGGACUGCGGCCGAUCAGGCUGUUGGUGAGGUAAUGGCCCACCAAACCUGUUACCGGUACGGGCUCUGAGAGGAGGAGCCCGGAGAUGGGCACUGAGACAAGGGCCCAGGCCCUAUGGGGCGCAGCAGGCGCGAAACCUCUGCAAUAGGCGAAAGCUUGACAGGGUUACUCUGAGUGAUUCCCGCUAAGGGAAUCUUUUGGCAUCUCUAAAAACGAUGUAGAAUAAGGGGUGGGCAAGUCUGGUGUCAGCCGCCGCGGUAAUACCAGCACCCCGAGUGGUCGGGACGAUUAUUGGGCCUAAAGCAUCCGUAGCCGGUCUUGCAAGUCUUCCGUUAAAUCCACCUGCUUAACAGAUGGGCUGCGGAAGAUACUACAAGACUAGGAGGCGGGAGAGGCAAGCGGUACUCAGUGGGUAGGGGUAAAACCCUCUGCUCCAUUGAAGACCACCAGUGGCGAAGGCGGCUUGCCAGAACGCGCUCGACGGUGAGGGAUGAAAGCUGGGGGAGCAAACCGGAUUAGAUACCCGGGUAGUCCCAGCUGUAAACGAUGCAGACUCGGUGAUGGGCCGGCUUCAUGCCGGCUCAGUGCCGCAGGGAAGCCGUUAAGUCUGCCGCCUGGGGAGUACGGUCGCAAGACUGAAACUUAAAGGAAUUGGCGGGGGAGCA